RNAcentral lists this ribosomal RNA (966 nucleotides) under Triticum aestivum (bread wheat). RNAcentral's name for it is "partial small subunit ribosomal RNA". The record is from RNAcentral. Lineage: Eukaryota; Viridiplantae; Streptophyta; Magnoliopsida; Poales; Poaceae.
AUGGCCGUAGUCGAGACCUCCGCCGACCACGUCGCCCCCGCCGCCUCCGACCACGGCGCCGCGCCGUACCGUGCCUCGUCGGAGGGGGGCGACGCGGGGGAGCGCGAGAUGCGGGAUCUGGAGGAGCUCCUCUCCAAGCUCAACCCCAUGGCGGAGGAGUUCGUCCCGCCCUCGCUCGCCGCGCACCCCAUGCCGCCGCCCCCCUACGCCGGCUACUACCCCAACGGCCCACCCGCAGCCGGCUUCGCGCCGGUCGCCUCGCCGGGCCACCGCGGGGUCGUUGGCUUCCCCGCCGCCGACGGCCGCGGCAGGAAGAAGUUUGGAGGGUACGGCGGCGGCUACCCCCACGGCGGCAAGCGGCGGGUCAACAGCCGCACCAGCCAGGCGCAGCGCGACGAGGUGAUCCGCCGGACGGUCUACGUCUCCGACAUCGAUCAUCAGGUCACCGAAGAGCAACUGGCAGCACUAUUUAUCAACGUAGGGCAGGUUGUGGACUGCCGGAUGUGUGGGGAUCCAAAUUCAGUUCUUCGUUUUGCUUUCAUAGAGUUUACUGAUGAGGAGGGUGCAAGGGCUGCUCUAAAUCUGUCAGGAACUGUGCUUGGAUAUUAUCCUGUGAGGGUUCUGCCAUCAAAAACUGCAAUUGCACCAGUCAAUCCAACGUUCCUGCCCAGGUCUGAUGAUGAGCGUGAGAUGUGUGCAAGGACCAUCUACUGCACAAACAUCGACAAGAAGGUCUCUCAGGCAGAUGUGAAACUGUUCUUCGAGUCAAUUUGUGGAGAGGUCUAUCGGCUGAGGUUGCUUGGGGACUACCAGCAUAAUACUCGCAUUGCCUUUGUGGAGUUUGUUAUGGCUGAAAGUGCUACAGCUGCUCUCAACUGCAGUGGUGUUAUACUGGGUUCCCUGCCAAUAAGGGUGAGUCCAUCUAAGACUCCCGUUCGUCCCCGUGCUCCUCGGCCAAUGAACUAG